This 119-nucleotide ribosomal RNA is filed under the name Pteropus alecto (black flying fox). Lineage: Eukaryota; Metazoa; Chordata; Mammalia; Chiroptera; Pteropodidae. The record is from RNAcentral.
GUCUAAGGCCCUGCUACCCUGAACGAGCCCCAUCCCAUCUGAUUUCGGAAGCUAAGCAGGGUCAGGCCUGGUUAGUACUUGGAUGGGAGACCACCUAGGAAGACCAGGUGCUGUAGGCG